Non-coding RNA from Massariosphaeria phaeospora, 101 nucleotides. The record is from the annotation of a GenBank genome assembly. NCBI's taxonomy places the organism in Eukaryota, Fungi, Ascomycota, Dothideomycetes, Pleosporales.
GUCACUUUGGCCGAGUGGUCUAAGGCGCCAGCUUCAGGAUAUGAUUACAUAAUUCUGCUGGUCUUCGAAAGAAGGCGUGGGUUCAAGUCCCACAGGUGACA